UUAAGCGACUAAGCGUACACGGUGGAUGCCCUGGCAGUCAGAGGCGAUGAAGGACGUGCUAAUCUGCGAUAAGCGUCGGUGAGGUGAUAUGAACCGUUAUAACCGGCGAUUUCCGAAUGGGGAAACCCAGUGUGUUUCGACACACUAUCAUUAACUGAAUCCAUAGGUUAAUGAGGCGAACCGGGGGAACUGAAACAUCUAAGUACCCCGAGGAAAAGAAAUCAACCGAGAUUCCCCCAGUAGCGGCGAGCGAACGGGGAGGAGCCCAGAGCCUGAAUCAGUGUGUGUGUUAGUGGAAGCGUCUGGAAAGGCGUGCGAUACAGGGUGACAGCCCCGUACACAAAAAUGCACAUAUUGUGAGCUCGAUGAGUAGGGCGGGACACGUGGUAUCCUGUCUGAAUAUGGGGGGACCAUCCUCCAAGGCUAAAUACUCCUGACUGACCGAUAGUGAACCAGUACCGUGAGGGAAAGGCGAAAAGAACCCCGGCGAGGGGAGUGAAAAAGAACCUGAAACCGUGUACGUACAAGCAGUGGGAGCCUCUUAAUGGGGUGACUGCGUACCUUUUGUAUAAUGGGUCAGCGACUUAUAUUCUGUAGCAAGGUUAACCGAAUAGGGGAGCCGAAGGGAAACCGAGUCUUAACUGGGCGUUAAGUUGCAGGGUAUAGACCCGAAACCCGGUGAUCUAGCCAUGGGCAGGUUGAAGGUUGGGUAACACUAACUGGAGGACCGAACCGACUAAUGUUGAAAAAUUAGCGGAUGACUUGUGGCUGGGGGUGAAAGGCCAAUCAAACCGGGAGAUAGCUGGUUCUCCCCGAAAGCUAUUUAGGUAGCGCCUCGUGAAUUCAUCUCCGGGGGUAGAGCACUGUUUCGGCAAGGGGGUCAUCCCGACUUACCAACCCGAUGCAAACUGCGAAUACCGGAGAAUGUUAUCACGGGAGACACACGGCGGGUGCUAACGUCCGUCGUGAAGAGGGAAACAACCCAGACCGCCAGCUAAGGUCCCAAAGUCAUGGUUAAGUGGGAAACGAUGUGGGAAGGCCCAGACAGCCAGGAUGUUGGCUUAGAAGCAGCCAUCAUUUAAAGAAAGCGUAAUAGCUCACUGGUCGAGUCGGCCUGCGCGGAAGAUGUAACGGGGCUAAACCAUGCACCGAAGCUGCGGCAGCGACACUAUGUGUUGUUGGGUAGGGGAGCGUUCUGUAAGCCUGUGAAGGUGGCCUGUGAGGGUGCUGGAGGUAUCAGAAGUGCGAAUGCUGACAUAAGUAACGAUAAAGCGGGUGAAAAGCCCGCUCGCCGGAAGACCAAGGGUUCCUGUCCAACGUUAAUCGGGGCAGGGUGAGUCGACCCCUAAGGCGAGGCCGAAAGGCGUAGUCGAUGGGAAACAGGUUAAUAUUCCUGUACUUGGUGUUACUGCGAAGGGGGGACGGAGAAGGCUAUGUUGGCCGGGCGACGGUUGUCCCGGUUUAAGCGUGUAGGCUGGUUUUCCAGGCAAAUCCGGAAAACCAAGGCUGAGGCGUGAUGACGAGGCACUACGGUGCUGAAGUGACAAAUGCCCUGCUUCCAGGAAAAGCCUCUAAGCAUCAGGUAACAUCAAAUCGUACCCCAAACCGACACAGGUGGUCAGGUAGAGAAUACCAAGGCGCUUGAGAGAACUCGGGUGAAGGAACUAGGCAAAAUGGUGCCGUAACUUCGGGAGAAGGCACGCUGAUAUGUAGGUGAAGCGACUUGCUCGUGGAGCUGAAAUCAGUCGAAGAUACCAGCUGGCUGCAACUGUUUAUUAAAAACACAGCACUGUGCAAACACGAAAGUGGACGUAUACGGUGUGACGCCUGCCCGGUGCCGGAAGGUUAAUUGAUGGGGUUAGCGGUAACGCGAAGCUCUUGAUCGAAGCCCCGGUAAACGGCGGCCGUAACUAUAACGGUCCUAAGGUAGCGAAAUUCCUUGUCGGGUAAGUUCCGACCUGCACGAAUGGCGUAAUGAUGGCCAGGCUGUCUCCACCCGAGACUCAGUGAAAUUGAACUCGCUGUGAAGAUGCAGUGUACCCGCGGCAAGACGGAAAGACCCCGUGAACCUUUACUAUAGCUUGACACUGAACAUUGAGCCUUGAUGUGUAGGAUAGGUGGGAGGCUUUGAAGUGUGGACGCCAGUCUGCAUGGAGCCGACCUUGAAAUACCACCCUUUAAUGUUUGAUGUUCUAACGUUGGCCCGUAAUCCGGGUUGCGGACAGUGUCUGGUGGGUAGUUUGACUGGGGCGGUCUCCUCCUAAAGAGUAACGGAGGAGCACGAAGGUUGGCUAAUCCUGGUCGGACAUCAGGAGGUUAGUGCAAUGGCAUAAGCCAGCUUGACUGCGAGCGUGACGGCGCGAGCAGGUGCGAAAGCAGGUCAUAGUGAUCCGGUGGUUCUGAAUGGAAGGGCCAUCGCUCAACGGAUAAAAGGUACUCCGGGGAUAACAGGCUGAUACCGCCCAAGAGUUCAUAUCGACGGCGGUGUUUGGCACCUCGAUGUCGGCUCAUCACAUCCUGGGGCUGAAGUAGGUCCCAAGGGUAUGGCUGUUCGCCAUUUAAAGUGGUACGCGAGCUGGGUUUAGAACGUCGUGAGACAGUUCGGUCCCUAUCUGCCGUGGGCGCUGGAGAACUGAGGGGGGCUGCUCCUAGUACGAGAGGACCGGAGUGGACGCAUCACUGGUGUUCGGGUUGUCAUGCCAAUGGCACUGCCCGGUAGCUAAAUGCGGAAGAGAUAAGUGCUGAAAGCAUCUAAGCACGAAACUUGCCCCGAGAUGAGUUCUCCCUGAGACUUAGAGUCUCCUGAAGGAACGUUGAAGACGACGACGUUGAUAGGCCGGGUGUGUAAGCGCAGCGAUGCGUUGAGCUAACCGGUACUAAUGAACCGUGAGGCUUAACCUU
RNAcentral lists this ribosomal RNA (2901 nucleotides) under Escherichia coli. RNAcentral's name for it is "bacterial LSU rRNA". It matches the Rfam family "Bacterial large subunit ribosomal RNA". The record is from RNAcentral. Lineage: Bacteria; Pseudomonadati; Pseudomonadota; Gammaproteobacteria; Enterobacterales; Enterobacteriaceae.